This 253-nucleotide ribosomal RNA is filed under the name uncultured bacterium. Its description in RNAcentral is "partial 16S ribosomal RNA". It matches the Rfam family "Bacterial small subunit ribosomal RNA", at positions 524 to 776 of the family's 1533-position model. The record is from RNAcentral.
UACGUAGGUGGCAAGCGAUACUCGGAAUCACUAGGCGUAAAGCGCAGGUAGGCGGUUUGGUAAGUCUUUUGUGAAAGCUCCCGGCUCAACUGGGAGAGGUCAAGGGAAACUACCGGACUAGAGUGUGGUAGGGGAUACUGGAAUUCCUGGUGUAGCGGUGAAAUUCGUAGAUAUCAGGAGGAACACCAGUGGCGAAGGCGGCUUCCUGGACACCAACUGACGCUGAGACGCGAAAGCGUGGGGAGCAAACAGG